CNGGUUACCUUGUUACGACUUCCUGAGCCAUGAUCAAACUCUAGUUACCUUGUUACGACUUCCUGAGCCAUGAUCAAACUCUGGUUACCUUGUUACGACUUCCUGAGCCAUGAUCAAACUCUGGUUACCUUGUUACGACUUCCUGAGCCAUGAUCAAACUCUAGUUACCUUGUUACGACUUCACCCCAGUCAUGAAACACAAAGUGGUAAUCGUCCUCCCGAAGGUUAGACUAACUACUUCUUUUGCAUCCCACUCCCAUGGUGUGACGGGCGGUGUGUACAAGGCCCGGGAACGUAUUCACCGCAGUAUGCUGACCUGCGAUUACUAGCGAUUCCGACUUCACGGAGUCGAGUUGCAGACCCGAUCCGGACUACCGACGAAC
RNAcentral lists this ribosomal RNA (383 nucleotides) under uncultured gamma proteobacterium DCM-ATT-12. RNAcentral's name for it is "partial 16S ribosomal RNA". The record is from RNAcentral. Lineage: Bacteria; Pseudomonadati; Pseudomonadota; Gammaproteobacteria.